AGGGUAAUAGCUCAGUGGUAGAGUGCAUGCUUAGCAUGCAUGAGGCCCUGUGUUCCAUCCCCAGUACCUCCA
RNAcentral lists this transfer RNA (72 nucleotides) under Camelus bactrianus (Bactrian camel). It matches the Rfam family "tRNA". Rfam says of the family: Transfer RNA (tRNA) molecules are approximately 80 nucleotides in length. Their secondary structure includes four short double-helical elements and three loops (D, anti-codon, and T loops). The record is from Rfam by way of RNAcentral. RNAcentral also lists the same sequence under 2 other names. Lineage: Eukaryota; Metazoa; Chordata; Mammalia; Artiodactyla; Camelidae.